GUGGAAGGCUACAUCGUCACAACAUGUCUGACUUCCGUUCGAAACGCCAUUGUGUUCCGGAUUGAUAACAUUAUGUCGUGGUACAAAAUAGCUAUACACCGUUUAAUUGAACUCUUCUAACUAAGGAGAUGAGAUAGGAAUGGAAUCAUCAAAACGCUUAGAAAAUAUGUCAAUUUUCUUCCUGUUUAAAGCUUUUCACUAACAUUGAUUAUCAGCUGUUUUGUACGGAAAACGUGGAAUCUAAAUAAUAUACCGUUUCCCUGUUCUGCUGCUAUUGGCAAUACAUUUUUGUCAUGUCAUCUGCAACAGACGAUCAUACAUAUGUGGCGGAUUAUCGAUAUAGCUAGGUAGCAAUAGCAGUGGAAGCCCGGAUUUGCAAGCCAAAUGAGGGAAAGACAGAAUUCUGAAAAGGAGCAUGUUUUUCAUUUCCACACACGGAUGUGUAUCACUAUGGACAUCUAAUAUUGAUCCCAAGAUAUUUGAGACCAUGUAAAAUAAAGAAAGACAACUCUUAAACAGGAUCUUUCAUACCAAGAUUUUUGCAAAAAAUUAAGUAUUUUCUUUAAUUUUUCAAUUUCAUUCAAUUUCUUUUCUUCAUCCCAUUCACCAACGAAUAUUGUUUAUAUUUUCAGGUUUUUGUGGGAAUUUGUCCAGCAGUUUGCCUUAAAAGAAUUUUUUUAUAUUUUAGUUUCAUAUUUAUGUGGAUUCCAAUAAAAAUCAUACCAACUUCAUUCGUGAUUUUUUUGUUUUUCAUUUCUAAACUUAAUAACAUUUCACUUUCAUAAGAAUUUUAAAACAGAAAUGUUUAAAAAUUUGAUAAAUAAGGGGUUAUCUGGAACCAGACUGAUAUUUUAAAAAUUCUCUAGAAAAUAGUGUAUUGUAUUUUGAGGUCUAUUAUUGUUGAAUACUGUGCCUAGUAUUGGUAACAUAUGCAUGCAACAAAAAUCUCCUACACUUAUUUGGUGUAGAG
Long non-coding RNA from Magallana angulata, 970 nucleotides. RefSeq lists it as uncharacterized. The transcript is spliced from 3 exons. The record is from RefSeq and is a predicted model, not a curated record. NCBI's taxonomy places the organism in Eukaryota, Metazoa, Mollusca, Bivalvia, Ostreida, Ostreidae.